This 576-nucleotide ribosomal RNA is filed under the name uncultured Neocallimastigomycetes. RNAcentral describes it as "partial large subunit ribosomal RNA". It matches the Rfam family "Eukaryotic large subunit ribosomal RNA", at positions 204 to 630 of the family's 3401-position model. The record is from RNAcentral. Lineage: Eukaryota; Fungi; Neocallimastigomycota; Neocallimastigomycetes.
CAUAGAGGGUGAGAAUCCCGUAUUUGGUUAUUCUUUCUAGCUUUGUGAUACACUUUCAAAGAGUCGGAUUGUUUGGGAAUGCAGUCCAAAAUGGGUGGUAAAUUUCAUCUAAAGCUAAAUAUUGGCGAGAGACCGAUAGCGAACAAGUACCGUGAGGGAAAGAUGAAAAGAACUUUGAAAAGAGAGUUAAACAGUACGUGAAAUUGUCAAAAGGGAAGCGUUUGACACCAGUGUUGUUUUUCCGAAAAUCAAUUACGAAUGGCUUGAUUUUGUGUUGUAUUGACCUUAUCAGCUUUCUUCACUCUUUUUCGAGUCUUUCUUAAUGCACUUUUCGGUUAACAAGUCAACAUCAAUUUCUUUUGUUGUAAAAGGGUAUUUGGAAGGUGGCUUUCUUUUCGGAGAAAGUGUUUAUAGCCUUAUACCUCUACAAUCGGAGAGAUUGAGGUCUGCAGCGUAGAUCCUUCGGGGCUAGAUACACUUGUGCUAAGUUAUAGCUUUUCAUAGACAACUUGUUGACUAUGUUUAGUCAUGUAGCUUACCCGCUUGUGCUAUUUUACCUACGCUUAGGAUGUUGAA